This is a long non-coding RNA of Alosa sapidissima (American shad), 1324 nucleotides long. RefSeq lists it as uncharacterized. NCBI's taxonomy places the organism in Eukaryota, Metazoa, Chordata, Actinopteri, Clupeiformes, Clupeidae. The record is from RefSeq and is a predicted model, not a curated record. The transcript has 2 exons.
AGUGACAGUCCCAUGUUGUGGUACUGCUGGGCUUUUUAACCAUUCACGGUUUCCACUGAACUCUCCAUCUCCGUCAUUAUCAUUUUCAGCAGGGACUUCAACAACAUGGCAAAGUCGCUGAUGAAAGAAAAUAAAAGAAUCGCUCUCCCACCUCUAUUUUCACCUCAAAAAGAGUGCUAAAAAGCUGUUUUCCUGGAACCUCAGUGGGCAAUUUCUAUGAAUUCUAAGAAAACACUCUGCUCUUGGGGGAGUUUUUGUGCUCCUGGUGAGUUACAGAAUUAGUGACAUAACAAACUAUUCAGACUGACCUUGGAUGUGACUCUCAACAGUGGCAUACACCAGUGGACUGACAACACAGACUCACAAGCCUCUCAUGUUAGAAAUGAAACUGUGUAAAGUCUCGUCAACCCCAAGAUGAGUGAUUUCGGCAUGACUGAGAGGACUGUUUUGGUGGGGGUAGUCGUGAUGAUGUCUGAGUUCACAUGUAGGCCACUGCUUCAUUAGGGAUGCCGUGCUGUAUAAUUCUCCGCCUCCACCACUGGAUGUGUGCGAGUGCAACAGUUUUCAGCCCGCUGGAAGACAAUUAUUCGGCAUGUCUUGCAGAGAUUUCCGUGCUGAGUAUCCUCAGAGUGGCACAGAAUGCAGAGGGAGCUUCAAGCCACAGCGGGCUCACAGGUCUGCCUUCAGCAAGUGAAUGAAGUGGCACGUCUCCAGCACAUUCCCCUCCACAAUAAAACACACCUGGUCACAUUGACAUUAAUUUUGGCACACAUUGACAGUAAAUACCAGGUAAAUGCAUUCAUGCUUCUUUUUCCAUGUUCCAUAGACAACAUGUAGAGUCUUUUUCUUUACCCCCCUUUCUGAGCCUGGACAUAUAACAGUGUAGAUUUACUUCUCAUUCUAAAAUGGGCAAUGAGCAUCAACAGAUCUGUCACAGUCAAAGUCAUUACCCUCAGAGCUGCACUCUAUAAUAUGCCAUACAGGCUAACUAGAGGUACAGCAUGAUUGUAUAUGGCUGCAGUCUUCUUUGCUUCGAUGACUAUGAGAAUCUUUACUGAAUGCUUCUCCACUCUCACAAGAUUCUUUAUCCUGUUACUGUCUCCUUCACUCUAGUGCAAUGCCAUGCCUAGACCUCAGCACAAAUUAACCAAGUCCGCAGUUCCUAUUUCUGUAAGCAGAAUGAUCUCACAUUAGAUUACAUGUAAGUAGUACUCAACUUUGCUGGACUCCCUCUUAUGAGGUCUCACUGUGUCAGGAAUGUUCAUAAAUUCAGUUAUAAAAAUAACUAAAUAUUGUUCUAUUGUAUUUAAAGUUGAUUUUUCAA